RNAcentral lists this ribosomal RNA (274 nucleotides) under uncultured bacterium. Its description in RNAcentral is "partial 16S ribosomal RNA". It matches the Rfam family "Bacterial small subunit ribosomal RNA", at positions 523 to 796 of the family's 1533-position model. The record is from RNAcentral.
AUACAGGGGGUGCAAGCGUUGUUCGGAAUCAUUGGGCGUAAAGGGCGUGUAGGCGGUGAAGUGUGUCUGAUGUGAAAGCCCUCGGCUUAACCGAGGAAUGGCAUUGGAAACUACUUCACUCGAGUGCGAGAGGGGACAGCGGAAUUCCCAGUGUAGAAGUGAAAUUCGUAGAUAUUGGGAGGAACACCAGCGGCGAAGGCGGCUGUCUGGCUCGCAACUGACGCUGAGACGCGAAAGCGUGGGGAGCAAACAGGAUUAGAAACCCCAGUAGUCC